Molecule: long non-coding RNA, 2471 nt
Organism: Ctenopharyngodon idella (grass carp)
Lineage: Eukaryota; Metazoa; Chordata; Actinopteri; Cypriniformes; Xenocyprididae
Exons: 2
Source: RefSeq, a predicted model, not a curated record
GAAUGAAGGUCUUACAGGUGUGGAACGACAUGAGGGUGAGUAAUUAAUGACAGCAUUUUCAUUUUUGGGUGAACUAACACUUGAACUAUGUAAUAGGUGAGAUUCACCCUGUGCAAUAUGCUAGAAGGAUUAUUUGCCUACAGGGAAUUAUGUAAACCAAUGUAAUGACAUUCAUCAAUGCAAGACAUCACAAUGCAAAAUGAAUGAUUCCAAAGUCCUGACAAAUUUAUAUUUGCAUUAGUUCCCAUGCACUCCACACUCACUUUUCUAACAUGAUAGGUAAAGGAAGAAUGGAGCCUUUUAACUUCUUUUUGUCUGUGCCUUAAUGCAAUCACCAUUCGGAGACCCUUUUGUUGGGCGUCCUAUUGAUCAGGGAAGGCAGGAAUUGAGUUUGGUGCAAAUCAGUGAGCAAGACAAACAGAGCAUGAACCGAUGGGCCACAUUAGUGUAGGAUGGCUCCUCUGUCUUCCAGGUGACAGAGUUUACAAAGGCUGAAGUGAAGUGCUGAAGCACUUUACUAGAGACUGAGUGAGUGGGAGUGCUUUUAAGAGCCUUGAAUGAGGGGUCAUUAGCGCCUGAGUGACUUCAUCAGACCAGACGGUACUGCAGGUUCCUAUGGCCGGUUGCGUUAAGGAAGAUGGCAUGCUUUAGUGCAGACAUGAGCAAACACAGCACAGGGUAUGGCUCUUUUAGCCUGUCGACUAGCAGAUUAGAGCAGACCUCAACCGACACAAUCUAAUAAUGGCUGCUCUCAGCCUCACGGGUGUUCGAUGCACGCGCAUGGGCAAAGCAGGGUAAAAUCAUUACCGGUAUCAAAUUAGAGCACAGACUCUUCUCUAUUAAAGAGAUAGUUCAUCCAAAAAUGAAAAUAAUGUCAUCAUCUACUAUGGAAGUCAAUGGCUACCGUCAACUGUCUGGUUACCAACAUUCAAAAUCACAGUAUCUAUUCAGAAUAUCUUAUUUUGUGUUUGACAGUAGAAACUCAUACAGGUUUGGAACAACUUGAAGGUGAGUAAACGAUAACAAAAUUUUCAUUUUGGGGUAAACUAUCCCUUUAGGAUUUGCAGUCAGUUAUGUGAUGAUCAUGAGAUAAGCAAUAAGGAAAAUAAUACAUCAAAUCAUUAUGUAGAGGCAAUUAAAACAACUUAUAAUUCAUGGCUACACACCUUGUGCAUUGAAUUUAAAGACUGACUAAUGUGUUUGUGUGUUGUUUUGUGAUUUAGGUUCACAUGGAGAGCACCCUGAGGGAGUGUGUGGCCUCUUUUAAAUGCCAGAUGUGUCAUUCCUAGUCCGACAGUGUCAUAUUGAUAACAAGGACAUGCUCGAAGGCCUGGGCUCGAUGACGACAUAUGAAGAACAGCAGUGCUGAGGUAUCACAAAAGGAUUAACCCUUAAGAUGCUUCAAUGGAAAACAGCAGUAGAUAAAUCACCUGUAGACCAGAGCCAAAAGUCUAAAGCAAAACCUGAGACCAUGAGAGAGCUGAAGAACACGCCUGUAGGUCUUACAUGCUCCCAGAAGACCAGAAAAAUGGCCAAAUAAGGGAGUAGACGACACAAAACGUUGUCUGUAUCCACAGCCAGACCCAACCAAUCUAAAAAGAUGCCACCAAAGACAUCCAUGAGCCAGCCCCAGGAGAGUCUGAGAUGGGUGGGAGUGCUGGCCAACCCUGUGGAGGAAGAAGAGAGGAUUGAGAUUUAUAAAGCCAACAGAAGGAAGCGCUAUUUGGCAGCUCAAGUAUAUCUCAUCAAGAGCUUGGCCUGCAUUGACAGCUAGUAAAGUAUUAAAGUUCUUGUAUCAUUUAAACUUCAAAAAGAAAUGCAUGUUUUAUAUAUAAUACAAUACAUUUUGAAAUAACUACCUUCAUAUUGUUUCAGAGUAAAAUGCUUUUAAAGGGAUAGUUCACCCAAAAAUGAAAAUUCUGUCAUUUUCUCACCCAAGUUGUUCCAAGCCUGUAUGAAUUUCUUUCUUCUGCUGAACACAAAAUAUGAUAUUUUGAAGAAUAAGGGUAACCAAACAGUUCCACAGUCAAUACUAUGGAAGUCAAUGGGGCCCAUCAACUGUUACGGUUACCGACGUUCUUCAAAAUAUCUUCUUUUGUGUUCAGAAGAACAACUAAAUUCACAGGUUUGGAACAACUUGAGGGUGAGUAAAUGACAGAAUUUUCAUUUUUUGGGUGAACUAUCCCUUUAUCAUCUGACCUCUAAUACGUACUCUCACCUCUAGGGGGCUCUCGAGAACAACAAAUGAAAAGAUCACUAGUUGCACUACUAACUUUGCAUUUAAAGGCCUUGUUUUCUAGCAUGAUGCAAAAAUGCAAACAUUAAGGAAAAUGCACAUUACAUUACAAUAAAAACCAGCAUGUCACUUUAAAAAAAAUGAUUUAUUUCAUUUUAACUGUUAAUAUCCAUCUUAACAAACAUUAAUAGAAUCAGAGUUAAAAGAAUAAAAAAAAAAAAAAAAAAAAAAAAAA